GAAUCAACCUGGACCUUAUAUCAUGUAUACAACUGUAGAUGCAAAUGGGUAUCUGAAAAAUGGAUCAGCUGGCCAACUCAGCCAAUCCGCACAUUUAGCUCUCCAACUACCAUACAACGUGCUUGGUUUAGGUCGGAGCGCAAAUUUUCUUGACCAUCUCUACGUUGGUAUUCCCCGUCCAUCUGGAGAAAAAUCUAUACGAAAACAAGAGUGGACUGCAAUCAUUCCAAAUUCCCAGCUAAUUGUCAUUCCAUACCCUCACAAUGUCCCUCGAAGUUGGAGUGCCAAACUGUAUCUUACACCAAGUAAUAUUGUUCUGCUUACUGCUAUAGCUCUCAUCGGUGUCUGUGUUUUCAUCUUGGCAAUAAUUGGCAUUUUACAUUGGCAGGAAAAGAAAGCAGAUGAUAGAGAAAAACGACAAGAAGCCCACCGGUUUCAUUUUGAUGCUAUGUGACUUGCCUUUAAUAUUACAUAAUGGAAUGGCUGUUCACUUGAUUAGUUGAAACACAAAUUCUGGCUUGAAAAAAUAGGGGAGAUUAAAUAUUAUUUAUAAAUGAUGUAUCCCAUGGUAAUUAUUGGAAAGUAUUCAAAUAAAUAUGGUUUGAAUAUGUCACAAGGUCUUUUUUUUUAAAGCACUUUGUAUAUAAAAAUUUGGGUUCUCUAUUCUGUAGUGCUGUACAUUUUUGUUCCUUUGUGGAAUGUGUUGCAUGUACUCCAGUGUUUGUGUAUUUAUAAUCUUAUUUGCAUCAUGAUGAUGGAAAAAGUUGUGUAAAUAAAAAUAAUUAAAUGAGCAGGAAUUUUUGUGUCCACUUGACUUGGUCUUGCUUCUUAUUCUAAUGAUGCAAAUUAUACUUUUGUGAAUAUAUCACGGAGUCAUUAGGCAUUCAGCUUCAUCACAGCAGGUCAGGGGUCUCACUGAUGGCAUACAAUAUAGUGAUCGGGUACUCUGACUUGGUAGCACAGUAAGACAGACUUGCCUUAAACUCCUAAUUCAACCACUUACAAAGUCAUUGUUUGAACUUGGCUCUUGUUUAACCUCUGUAAACCUCAGUUUUCUUGUUUAUUCAGUGGGGCUAAUACUUGAGUUACUGUAAACAUUAAAUGGGAUGAUGUAUGUGAAGUGCUUAGCUUGGUGCCUAGCACAGAGUAAGUGGUCAAUAUGUGGUAGUUGUCAUUAUUAAUAUUUUAGAUGAUCUUAUUAGACUUAUACAUCUAAUUAUAGAAAUACAUAGACUUGAUAGAAUUUUAUUUUCAGGCAUGAAGAAAUAUUCUUUGGAAAAGCUAAAUUUUUGGUGAUUGACAUAAAGAUUUACUUGCUCAUAUUAACUAAAAAUUAUAGUACUCUCCAAGAAUUAAUGUGCCCUAAAAAUUUUCCUCCAAAAACUUAUCCUUAUCAUGUGAUAAUGAAGAACAUUUGAUUUCUUGAAAGGAAACUGCUGUAGGCAGCAUCUGGGAAUGCAAAUCUUCAAUCACAUUUCUAUUCUCAAACACUUGGAGAAGUCUAUAAUUUACAUUCAGACUUCAAUGCAAAUUUUGUAUUGUGAACUUCACAUUUCCAAAAAGUUACUUUAAAAAGACUUUAAGACUGAAAAAAAAAAGUUUAUCAAUGCUAAUAAUUUUCUAGUAUGCAAAUGGACAUGUGAUGCCUAUAAAACACAAAAAUUUCUCUGAAAACAAUUUUGUUCUUAUUUUUUUCUUUAUAGUUCACUGAGAUUGGCAUGUGUUUUUACUUUGUAUCUAAGCAUGUUAACAUGUCUUCUUAAUAAAUAUUCC
Molecule: long non-coding RNA, 1773 nt
Filed under: Homo sapiens (human)
Lineage: Eukaryota; Metazoa; Chordata; Mammalia; Primates; Hominidae
Description: long non-coding RNA NONHSAT173817.1
Source: RNAcentral